This 108-nucleotide small RNA is filed under the name Sinorhizobium meliloti 2011. RNAcentral's name for it is "putative ncRNA". The record is from RNAcentral. Lineage: Bacteria; Pseudomonadati; Pseudomonadota; Alphaproteobacteria; Hyphomicrobiales; Rhizobiaceae.
ACAGAGAUCCAGCAGCGCCGCGUCUGCGGCGCGGAGAAAUGUUCUUUCAGACCAAGGACUUGGUCUGGCUGGAUCCCUGUGACGAGCACAGGGAUGAGGAGAUCAAGC